GCAUAUCAAUAAGCGGAGGAAAAGAAACCAACAGGGAUUGCCCUAGUAACGGCGAGUGAAGCGGCAACAGCUCAAAUUUGAAAUCUGGCUCUCGGGCCCGAGUUGUAAUUUGUAGAGGAUACUUUUGAUGCGGUGCCUUCCGAGUUCCCUGGAACGGGACGCCAUAGAGGGUGAGAGCCCCGUCUGGUUGGAUGCCAAAUCUCUGUAAAGUUCCUUCGACGAGUCGAGUAGUUUGGGAAUGCUGCUCUAAAUGGGAGGUAUAUGUCUUCUAAAGCUAAAUAUUGGCCAGAGACCGAUAGCGCACAAGUAGAGUGAUCGAAAGAUGAAAAGCACUUUGAAAAGAGAGUUAAAAAGUACGUGAAAUUGUUGAAAGGGAAGCGUUUAUGACCAGACUUGGACUUGGUUAAUCAUCUGGGGUUCUCCCCAGUGCACUUUUCCAGUUCAGGCCAGCAUCAGUUUUCGCCGGGGGAUAAAGGCAGCGGGAAUGUGGCUCUCUUCGGGGAGUGUUAUAGCCCGUUGUGUAAUACCCUGGUGGGGACUGAGGUUCGCGCUUCUGCAAGGAUGCUGGCGUAAUGGUCAUCAACGACCCGUCUUGAAACACGGACCAAGGAGUCGUCUUCGUAUGCGAGUGUUCGGGUGUCAAACCCCUACGCGUAAUGAAAGUGAACGCAGGUGAGAGCUUCGGCGCAUCAUCGACCGAUCCUGAUGUUCUCGGAUGGAUUUGAGUAAGAGCAUACGGGGCCGGACCCGAAAGAAGGUGAACUAUGCCUGUAUAGGGUGAAGCCAGAGGAAACUCUGGUGGAGGCUCGCAGCGGUUCUGACGUGCAAAUCGAUCGUCAAAUAUGGGCAUGGGGGCGAAAGACUAAUCGAACCUUCUAGUAGCUGGUUUCCGCCGAA
This 897-nucleotide ribosomal RNA is filed under the name Fusarium lateritium var. majus. RNAcentral describes it as "LSU rRNA". It matches the Rfam family "Eukaryotic large subunit ribosomal RNA", at positions 38 to 965 of the family's 3401-position model. Lineage: Eukaryota; Fungi; Ascomycota; Sordariomycetes; Hypocreales; Nectriaceae. The record is from RNAcentral.